UCAUUUCUCCUCUCUCUCUCUCUCUCAAGUGAAGUCGGCAGGAUUUUCAAUGUCUCCUUCCAGGAGGCAGAUCCGCCAUUUUUCUCAAUUCUUCAACCUUCUCAUUUCUUCUACUCUCCUUUUUCUCUCUCCUCUUUUGCCGUCUUCAAAUUCUCCACUAUCACUCGUUUUUCCAAGCUUCUUCGUCUCUCACAUUCAUGGAAACAAUCGAAACAUUCUUAUUGUAAUUUAAAUCAAGAUUGUUAGCAGAAUGUCAAACGAACUUUUGAGGGCAAGCAUGCAUUUGAAGGUAUUAAGAGACCCCUCUGUCUAUUUUUGAUGGUCAGAAGAUUUGCUCUCAGUACUUUUGAGAAGCCUUGAUCACCUUUUAAUCAUCUGCAAUUUUGACGAGAUGAUGUUAAAGGCCAUCCUUAUUGAAGAAUAUCAAAUCUAAUGAUAUGCAUGUGAUAUUUUGAUGUCGGAUACCUGUCCAUCUAAGGAGUUGUUUCCUUAUUUAAUCAGAGGACCUCACUUCAUGAGAGCCAUUGCGAGAACUAGAAACUCUUUAGUUUCUCCUUUUCCCCAUCUUAUAGGGAGUCGAAACUUUACUGCACUCUCUUUAUAAGAGAAUUCAGGAGAUCAUAUAGAGUAUGUGGUGAAUCGUGACUCAUUUUGCCCUUCAUCUUACUGGCUGAUAGCUGUUCAAGGAUCAUAGAUCUUGUGAUUUAGGGAACUGUUUUAUUGAUGCAACAGAACUACAGAAGCUAAACUACUAUAGGCAUAUUUCCUACAUGAUCGAAUCAUCCAAGAACCUUAUCCUUCAAAUUGAAGCAAACAAAAAUCUUUCUUCACACUGACAUUCAACAAUCUUUCUAAAGUGCAGCAGACUGCGGAGUUUCAACGAUCUUUUGGCAUGAUCCUUGGACCAUGGACAUAGAAACAACAUCUCUUGUUCAUAGCCACAUCUAAAACUUUAAUUGGUAACCUAGAGAAGGGUGAGUCAUUAAGUUCCUUUUUCAUUGUAAAGCUGACUACAAAGUUUGCUCGUCCAUUAAUGAGGAUAGUUGGAAUUAAAUCAGGGAAUUGUAAAGGUGUGCUUAGAUGCCUUUUUGGACACGCCCAAGUUGUGAAAUGGCUCAAGGCCUGUUUGGUAAGGAGUUAUAGUUUUGUUAAGAAAGUUAACAUGUCAAUGUUUAUUAUGGUGAUCGAACUUUGUCUCUGAGCAUGUGUUUUUCUUCAUAUAAUUUCAUUGUCACUUCCUCAGUGAUGACGGAAUUAUAUGAUGAAACGAUGAUAUUUGGGGAUGGACAAGCAUAACCAUGGCAUUGGCAUAAUGCCGUAAUGGCAUGAGACUCUCUUAACAAGAUUAAUUGCCUAUAAUACAGACUAUAAUACAUAGUUACAUGUGAUGUUUUGCUAACUAUUUAGGAGGAAACGUCAAAUGUGGCAUUUUGAAUCUGCUAGGGAUUAUAAAUUGAUUGAACAGUAAUGCCUAGUUUAUCUAGCAGAGGGUUUCUAAACAGUCGAGUUCAAGUUUAGGGAAAAGCUCUAACUUGUUGGCUAGAGUAGUUAGGAAUUAUUUAUCUUUAGAGAGGUAUAUAUUGUGUGUAAAACUUCUAAAGGAUAAUUUUGAUAAACAUAAUAACUCUAAUGAAUUGUAGUCUUUGUGCUUCCAAUCUACCAUACACAAUAAAAGCUGAAGAACAACUAAGAGAUUCUUCACUAACAAACUAAUUGUCUACUUAGAUUGUCAUGUCAAGUAGGAUUUUAAGCUACUCUAUUUUAGGUAGUUUGUACCCAAAUGAUAGCAAUUAGCUAGUGUCUAUUAACUUUUUGUCAAGCAAAUUAGUUUAGCCAAGCUUUUUCCCAUUUUCAAAUCCAAGUAACUUGAAACUUCAAAAAAUUGAUCACAUUUUCCUAGCUACCACCAUUAUAGUACCAAUCAUCAAAGAGGGAAAAAAAGGGAUUGGCUCAUGCAAAAUGGUCAUAAUCCAUUAUUGAAUGAACAAAUUUCAAAUGUAACUACUCUUUUUGGCCCACUAGGGCCUGUUCUCAUACGUUUAAAUUCAGUUCAACUCAGCUCAGCUCCUAAUUUUCUUCUCUUAUAAAAUAUUCAUUUUAACUCAGUGUAGUUCAGCUCAACUCAGCUGAGUCAGUGGCCCUAAGAUUGCUGCAUACUACAAAAAUAAUUCGUGUGCUACCACAUAAAGGCCUUGUUUGGCAAAUGGCUGUUGGCAGUUGGCUGGUUCACUUAGCUUGUUUGACUAGCUGGAAUGUUUGGCUGUUUAUAAUGGCUUUUGAAAUUGGCUGUUUAAGCUAGCUGUUUAUAAAAGUGUUUGGUAAAUUAAU
Long non-coding RNA from Chenopodium quinoa (quinoa), 2328 nucleotides. RefSeq lists it as uncharacterized. The record is from RefSeq and is a predicted model, not a curated record. The transcript is spliced from 7 exons. NCBI's taxonomy places the organism in Eukaryota, Viridiplantae, Streptophyta, Magnoliopsida, Caryophyllales, Amaranthaceae.